This 2898-nucleotide ribosomal RNA is filed under the name Klebsiella pneumoniae. RNAcentral's name for it is "bacterial LSU rRNA". It matches the Rfam family "Bacterial large subunit ribosomal RNA". Lineage: Bacteria; Pseudomonadati; Pseudomonadota; Gammaproteobacteria; Enterobacterales; Enterobacteriaceae. The record is from RNAcentral.
UAAGCGACUAAGCGUACACGGUGGAUGCCCUGGCAGUCAGAGGCGAUGAAGGACGUGCUAAUCUGCGAAAAGCGUCGGUAAGGUGAUAUGAACCGUUAUAACCGGCGAUGUCCGAAUGGGGAAACCCAGUGUGAUUCGUCACACUAUCGUUAACUGAAUACAUAGGUUAACGAGGCGAACCGGGGGAACUGAAACAUCUAAGUACCCCGAGGAAAAGAAAUCAACCGAGAUUCCCCCAGUAGCGGCGAGCGAACGGGGAGCAGCCCAGAGUCUGAAUCAGCUUGUGUGUUAGUGGAACGGUCUGGAAAGUCCGACGGUACAGGGUGAUAGUCCCGUACACCAAAAUGCACAGGCUGUGAACUCGAAGAGUAGGGCGGGACACGUGGUAUCCUGUCUGAAUAUGGGGGGACCAUCCUCCAAGGCUAAAUACUCCUGACUGACCGAUAGUGAACCAGUACCGUGAGGGAAAGGCGAAAAGAACCCCGGCGAGGGGAGUGAAAAAGAACCUGAAACCGUGUACGUACAAGCAGUGGGAGCACCUUCGGGUGUGACUGCGUACCUUUUGUAUAAUGGGUCAGCGACUUAUAUUCUGUAGCAAGGUUAACCGUAUAGGGGAGCCGCAGGGAAACCGAGUCUUAACUGGGCGUUAAGUUGCAGGGUAUAGACCCGAAACCCGGUGAUCUAGCCAUGGGCAGGUUGAAGGUUGGGUAACACUAACUGGAGGACCGAACCGACUAAUGUUGAAAAAUUAGCGGAUGACUUGUGGCUGGGGGUGAAAGGCCAAUCAAACCGGGAGAUAGCUGGUUCUCCCCGAAAGCUAUUUAGGUAGCGCCUCGUGAACUCAUCUUCGGGGGUAGAGCACUGUUUCGGCUAGGGGGUCAUCCCGACUUACCAACCCGAUGCAAACUACGAAUACCGAAGAAUGUUAUCACGGGAGACACACGGCGGGUGCUAACGUCCGUCGUGAAGAGGGAAACAACCCAGACCGCCAGCUAAGGUCCCAAAGUCAUGGUUAAGUGGGAAACGAUGUGGGAAGGCACAGACAGCCAGGAUGUUGGCUUAGAAGCAGCCAUCAUUUAAAGAAAGCGUAAUAGCUCACUGGUCGAGUCGGCCUGCGCGGAAGAUGUAACGGGGCUAAACCAUGCACCGAAGCUGCGGCAGCGACACUAUGUGUUGUUGGGUAGGGGAGCGUUCUGUAAGCCUGCGAAGGUGUGCUGUGAGGCAUGCUGGAGGUAUCAGAAGUGCGAAUGCUGACAUAAGUAACGAUAAAGCGGGUGAAAAGCCCGCUCGCCGGAAGACCAAGGGUUCCUGUCCAACGUUAAUCGGGGCAGGGUGAGUCGACCCCUAAGGCGAGGCCGAAAGGCGUAGUCGAUGGGAAACAGGUUAAUAUUCCUGUACUUGGUGUUACUGCGAAGGGGGGACGGAGAAGGCUAUGUUAGCCGGGCGACGGUUGUCCCGGUUUAAGCAUGUAGGCUGGUUAUCCAGGCAAAUCCGGAUAAUCAAGGCUGAGGUGUGAUGACGAGGCACUACGGUGCUGAAGUAACAAAUGCCCUGCUUCCAGGAAAAGCCUCUAAGCAUCAGGUAACAUUAAAUCGUACCCCAAACCGACACAGGUGGUCAGGUAGAGAAUACCAAGGCGCUUGAGAGAACUCGGGUGAAGGAACUAGGCAAAAUGGUGCCGUAACUUCGGGAGAAGGCACGCUGGUGUGUAGGUGAAGUCCCUGCGGAUGGAGCUGAGACCAGUCGAAGAUACCAGCUGGCUGCAACUGUUUAUUAAAAACACAGCACUGUGCAAACACGAAAGUGGACGUAUACGGUGUGACGCCUGCCCGGUGCCGGAAGGUUAAUUGAUGGGGUUAUCCGUAAGGAGAAGCUCUUGAUCGAAGCCCCGGUAAACGGCGGCCGUAACUAUAACGGUCCUAAGGUAGCGAAAUUCCUUGUCGGGUAAGUUCCGACCUGCACGAAUGGCGUAAUGAUGGCCAGGCUGUCUCCACCCGAGACUCAGUGAAAUUGAACUCGCUGUGAAGAUGCAGUGUACCCGCGGCAAGACGGAAAGACCCCGUGAACCUUUACUAUAGCUUGACACUGAACAUUGAGCCUUGAUGUGUAGGAUAGGUGGGAGGCUUUGAAGCGUGGACGCCAGUCUGCGUGGAGCCAACCUUGAAAUACCACCCUUUAAUGUUUGAUGUUCUAACGUUGGCCCCUGACCGGGGUUGCGGACAGUGUCUGGUGGGUAGUUUGACUGGGGCGGUCUCCUCCCAAAGCGUAACGGAGGAGCACGAAGGUUAGCUAAUCCUGGUCGGACAUCAGGAGGUUAGUGCAAUGGCAUAAGCUAGCUUGACUGCGAGCGUGACGGCGCGAGCAGGUGCGAAAGCAGGUCAUAGUGAUCCGGUGGUUCUGAAUGGAAGGGCCAUCGCUCAACGGAUAAAAGGUACUCCGGGGAUAACAGGCUGAUACCGCCCAAGAGUUCAUAUCGACGGCGGUGUUUGGCACCUCGAUGUCGGCUCAUCACAUCCUGGGGCUGAAGUAGGUCCCAAGGGUAUGGCUGUUCGCCAUUUAAAGUGGUACGCGAGCUGGGUUUAGAACGUCGUGAGACAGUUCGGUCCCUAUCUGCCGUGGGCGCUGGAGAAUUGAGGGGGGCUGCUCCUAGUACGAGAGGACCGGAGUGGACGCAUCACUGGUGUUCGGGUUGUCAUGCCAAUGGCACUGCCCGGUAGCUAAAUGCGGAAGAGAUAAGUGCUGAAAGCAUCUAAGCACGAAACUUGCCCCGAGAUGAGUUCUCCCUGAGACUUUAAGUCUCCUGAAGGAACGUUAAAGACGAUGACGUUGAUAGGCCGGGUGUGUAAGCGCAGCGAUGCGUUGAGCUAACCGGUACUAAUGAACCGUGAGGCUUAACCU